Molecule: non-coding RNA, 81 nt
Organism: Paragonimus heterotremus
Lineage: Eukaryota; Metazoa; Platyhelminthes; Trematoda; Plagiorchiida; Troglotrematidae
Source: the annotation of a GenBank genome assembly
GGCUUCGCAGCUCAGCUGGUAGAGCGACUGCCAUGUUUGGGCAUGAUGUUUCGGUUGCUGGUUCGAAUCCAGCCGAAGUCU